AGUGAACGCUGGCGGUAGGCCUAACACAUGCAAGUCGAACGGCAGCACAGGAGAGCUUGCUCUCUGGGUGGCGAGUGGCGGACGGGUGAGGAAUACAUCGGAAUCUGCCCAGUCGUGGGGGAUAACGUAGGGAAACUUACGCUAAUACCGCAUACGACCUUCGGGUGAAAGAGGGGGAUCGCAAGACCUCUCGCGAUUGGAUGAGCCGAUGUCGGAUUAGCUAGUUGGCGGGGUAAUGGCCCACCAAGGCGACGAUCCGUAGCUGGUCUGAGAGGAUGAUCAGCCACACUGGAACUGAGACACGGUCCAGACUCCUACGGGAGGCAGCAGUGGGGAAUAUUGGACAAUGGGCGCAAGCCUGAUCCAGCCAUACCGCGUGGGUGAAGAAGGCCUUCGGGUUGUAAAGCCCUUUUGUUGGGAAAGAAAUCUUUCAGGCUAAUACCCUGGGAGGAUGACGAUACCCAAAGAAUAAGCACCGGCUAACUUCGUG
This 490-nucleotide ribosomal RNA is filed under the name uncultured bacterium. RNAcentral describes it as "partial 16S ribosomal RNA". It matches the Rfam family "Bacterial small subunit ribosomal RNA", at positions 29 to 507 of the family's 1533-position model. The record is from RNAcentral.